CUCGCGGCCUCGCUGCAGGCCCCGGCCGCUCAGCAGUCAGUGAACUUCCUAAAAGGCAAAUCUGGCCUUGCUCACCGGGAGACCAGGCGAUGGUGGUCGCGGAGCUGAUUUAGCAGGGGACUUGUCCUGCCUGUAAGAAGCAAGCAGGAUGUAGCCUUGGGCUGUUAAGCUACCCGCCACCUCUCCUCCCACCACUCUGGGAGGAAAAUGGGACUUGGAAAGCACCAGGAAGGACAGGCCACCCCUCGUCUGUCGCCAGCUGACCACUCCAGCCCACCGCAUGCACCCCAGCAGCUAUGCCCAGCUUCUACCCGGUGCCUGCCCCCACCCAGAUGCUGGACUGCUGGGCCUGCAGCCUCUCCCCAGCCCCAAGUUUCAUGUGUGUGGGGUCUCACUGACCCUUCCCUUCUUUCCUGACUGCCCAGUGGGACAGGGAAGAGGUGGACUGCAGGGGUCUAGUACGGAAGCCAGGCCUCCAGGUUCCCAGCUCCCUACUUGAGACCUCCCGCUCAGCACUUAAGCCUUCGGUCCACCCCCUUGCUCUGAUCUCCUGACCAGCCAUGUCUCUGGGUAAGGGGGGAACCCAAUGUCAUUUCAGGGAUCCUUGGAGCAGGGGAUGUCAGUUGGCCUUGUACCCCUUUCUCUUGUGGGGGAGAGAUGGCCACCCGUUUUUCAUCGUGGCUUGAAUGGAGCUGUGUGGGCGGCAAGCCACCCAGGCACCGAGGCAAGAGAGAGGACACGAGCUGUUGCAGUAUAAUAAAAUAUAAAACAAGA
Molecule: long non-coding RNA, 774 nt
Filed under: Homo sapiens (human)
Lineage: Eukaryota; Metazoa; Chordata; Mammalia; Primates; Hominidae
Description: HSALNT0279384
Source: RNAcentral